This is a small nuclear RNA of Fukomys damarensis (Damara mole-rat), 103 nucleotides long. The record is from Ensembl. NCBI's taxonomy places the organism in Eukaryota, Metazoa, Chordata, Mammalia, Rodentia, Bathyergidae.
GUGCUUGCUUUGGCAGCACAUAUAAUACACUUGCAACAAUACAGAGAUUAGCACGGCCCCUACCAAGGAUGACAUGCAAAUUAGUGCAGUGUUUCAUAUUUUU